UUAUGAGAAAAAUGGACCUGUGAACUUUAUGUAUUCUUUAAUCUUACAAUAAGAGUAGUCAGUGUCUGGAAUCCCGAUAAAACAGUUUUGUAAGGAGUAUUGAGUGUCUAACUAAUUUGUCAUCGUCUGAUCACAACUGGCCUAUAUUUUAAACAACUAUGACUGGAUGGGCAUACAAUGCAUAUCAAGAAAAAUAUUUAAUGUUUUUUUUUUUUCGGUGGAUAUCAACCUUAUGAGAAUAAUUUUAUCACGCUAGAAGAAUGUGAAAAAACGUAUUACAUUUAACAGUGGUGCUGAUUGCUAUAGCAUUCCUAUUUGCAAUAAAUAAUCUAUAUUUAUUUUCAUGAAAGAACAAAUGAUACAAAUAUGUGUUAGAAAUAUGUAAAUCUUGUUAACAAAUCUUGGAAAUUAUUUUUCAACUCGAGAAAACGAACAUUUAUUAUGAUGUAAUCUCAUGUAUUUUUUAGAGUAGUGUGGUAUUCAACAAAUAAUGCAAAUUAUAAUUAAUAGAUAGGAAUACGAGGAUUUUAUAAAUAAACGAGACAGAGAGAAGCAAAUAAAUUUGU
Molecule: long non-coding RNA, 566 nt
Organism: Polistes dominula (European paper wasp)
Lineage: Eukaryota; Metazoa; Arthropoda; Insecta; Hymenoptera; Vespidae
Source: RefSeq, a predicted model, not a curated record